Long non-coding RNA from Cygnus olor (mute swan), 555 nucleotides. RefSeq lists it as uncharacterized. The record is from RefSeq and is a predicted model, not a curated record. The transcript has 5 exons. Lineage: Eukaryota; Metazoa; Chordata; Aves; Anseriformes; Anatidae.
UAGCGUACUCACAAGGAAGCGGAAGGCUGUGCUCCAGUCACCUUUCAUAUAAGCGAAUAGUUAAUUAUUCUGUUCAAUGUAGAACAGCUUUUACAGGAGGGACUGAGAAUGCCCCUUCUAUCCUUCUAUUCUUACCAUGGAUAAGUCUUAGCUGUUGAAUGAGCCCUGACAAUGUCUGUGGAUGGAAUUUCUCGUGACGUGGGACCAAUAUGGAACCAGGAAUGUGGUCUGCACUUGCUGGCUGUCUGUUCACUCCUGUCCCACUAAAAGGGUUAUAUGGCUAUGCAGACUGAAACUUCUUCCAGAUGAAGAAACAACUGGAGACGUAUUGCUAUGAAAUAUCCUAAUGUGAAGGUACCUUCAGGUGGUGAAUCAUCCCUUCCAUCCAAGAAACUUAUUUUGGGAGAAUGAGUCAUUCUUCAGAAAUGCCUGCCUGCUUCCAGCGACAAUAGAGGCGGGUAAACUUAGGCUGGGGGCCUGUCACAUCUAUAAAGUAUGGUCAGAUUAAGCUCAUUCUUUUCUUCUCUUAUCUGAUGUGACUUGUUUAAUAGCAUG